Molecule: non-coding RNA, 24 nt
Filed under: Mus musculus (house mouse)
Lineage: Eukaryota; Metazoa; Chordata; Mammalia; Rodentia; Muridae
Source: RNAcentral
UACUGUCCCCUGAGUAGAUUGUGG